CAGUUUGUUGGACUGGUGUCAAAUGUUUAAAAGCUUUCUUGUUAAGAAAAGAUUAUAUUCGGAAUCAACAAUUGGCCGAUUGACAGAUUUUCAAAUGUCUCGUUCGACUUUAAACUAGUACUAGUAGUAAAACUGAAGUAAUUUGGAUAAGAAGUGUAAAGUGGAGAGCAUAACAAUUUUUUUAACUUAUCAUCUGGUAGGACGAAAGCAGUUACUCACGAAUAUAACCCGGGAUAUCUUCAAAACAAUCGCAACUCGAAGCUCCCAGGGACGCAGGACGUGCUUGUGGAGUGUUUUCGGUGCAGUUGCAAUUUUCAAGGAACUAUUUUAUUAAUCAGAACAUCAUCUUCCAAACCGUUGAAAAAUGUGCAUAUUUUCUCGUUAUCAAGUCAACAAAUAAAGUAGAUAAUCAGUUCAGCUCCUACCAUCUGGUGCGCCUAUCAUUGUUCUCUCUAUAUGCAGCUCUUGUAUUUUUUCCUCUAAUUUUCCCCGGGUCAAGGAAGUGCAAAAUGUUUACCGCCUGACUGAUAUCUAAAUCUACCCUCUACCCUGCAAAUAGUUUAACGGUGACAUUCAGACACCAGGCUGACCUGGCUGCUUUAGGAUACUCAUGUGGUUUAGAUAACCCCUUUGCAGAGUGGAAGAUUCAGGAGUUGUGAUCAUUGGUGUGGAAAAUCGAAGGGACGGGUGUCUACGGCCCAGGAUAACGUGUGGCUUGAACGCGACGAAUAUAGAAGAGAAGAAAUGAAAAGUGUGGUGGCGGGAAAAUAGCCCAGAAGUCCAGCUUGUGGUUGUGGUUUCAAUUUAAUUUUCAAGUAACCAAAAAAACGAAAACUGAUUAAUAUGAAAUAUUACGCGAUAACUGGACCUUCUACUGGUUGCAUAAGGGAAAAUAUCUGAAAUUCUGUGAGUUUUCAUCACGUUUGGCUGAAGAUAUAAAUCUUUUCUGCAGUGUGAAAAAAACAUAUGCAGCACAAGCAGAAAUAAGAUGAAGAGCUCAUUCCCAU
Wyeomyia smithii (pitcher-plant mosquito) is the source of this 1007-nucleotide long non-coding RNA. RefSeq lists it as uncharacterized. NCBI's taxonomy places the organism in Eukaryota, Metazoa, Arthropoda, Insecta, Diptera, Culicidae. The transcript has 3 exons. The record is from RefSeq and is a predicted model, not a curated record.